GAUGAACGCUGGCGGCGUGCUUAACACAUGCGAGUCGAACGGUGAAGGCGGAGCUUGCUCUGCUGGAUCAGUGGCGAACGGGUGAGUAACACGUGAGCAAUCUGCCCCUGACUCUGGGAUAAGCGCUGGAAACGGCGUCUAAUACUGGAUACGAGCUGCGAAGGCAUCUUCAGCAGCUGGAAAGAAUUUCGGUCAGGGAUGAGCUCGCGGCCUAUCAGCUUGUUGGUGAGGUAAUGGCUCACCAAGGCGUCGACAGGUAGCCGGCCUGAGAGGGUGACCGGCCACACUGGGACUGAGACACGGCCCAGACUCCUACGGGAGGCAGCAGUGGGGAAUAUUGCACAAUGGGCGAAAGCCUGAUGCAGCAACGCCGCGUGAGGGACGACGGCCUUCGGGUUGUAAACCUCUUUUAGCAGGGAAGAAGCGAAAGUGACGGUACCUGCAGAAAAAGCGCCGGCUAACUACGUG
Molecule: ribosomal RNA, 468 nt
Filed under: uncultured bacterium
Lineage: Bacteria
Description: partial 16S ribosomal RNA
Rfam family: Bacterial small subunit ribosomal RNA
Source: RNAcentral